Molecule: ribosomal RNA, 473 nt
Filed under: uncultured bacterium
Lineage: Bacteria
Description: bacterial SSU rRNA
Rfam family: Bacterial small subunit ribosomal RNA
Source: RNAcentral
GGACGAACGCUGGCGGCGUGCCUAACACAUGCAAGUCGAGCGAGGAGAUCCUCGGGAUGAUCCUAGCGGCGGACGGGUGAGUAACACGUGGGCAACCUGCCUCAUAGAGAGGAAUAGCCUUCCGAAAGGGAGAUUAAUACCUCAUAACAUUGCAGUUUCGCAUGGAACAGCAAUUAAAGGAGCAAUCCACUAUGAGAUGGGCCCGCGGCGCAUUAGCUAGUUGGUGAGGUAACGGCUCACCAAGGCGACGAUGCGUAGCCGACCUGAGAGGGUGAUCGGCCACAUUGGGACUGAGACACGGCCCAGACUCCUACGGGAGGCAGCAGUGGGGAAUAUUGCACAAUGGGGGAAACCCUGAUGCCAGCAACGCCGCGUGAGUGAUGACGGCCUUCGGGUUGUAAAGCUCUGUCUUCAGGGACGAUAAUGACGGUACCUGAGGAGGAAGCCACGGCUAACUACGUGCCAGCCGCCGC